UACGAAGGGGGCUAGCGUUGUUCGGAAUUACUGGGCGUAAAGGGCGCGUAGGCGGCCCGCUAAGUCGAACGUGAAAUCCCCAGGCUCAACCUGGGAACUGCGUCCGAUACUGGCAGGCUUGAAUCCGGGAGAGGGAUGUGGAAUUCCAGGUGUAGCGGUGAAAUGCGUAGAUAUCUGGAGGAACACCGGUGGCGAAGGCGGCAUCCUGGACCAAUACUGACGCUGAGGCGCGAAAGCUAGGGGAGCAAACGGG
This 253-nucleotide ribosomal RNA is filed under the name uncultured bacterium. Its description in RNAcentral is "partial 16S ribosomal RNA". It matches the Rfam family "Bacterial small subunit ribosomal RNA", at positions 524 to 776 of the family's 1533-position model. The record is from RNAcentral.